CGCCCACACCUGGGGUUUGGAGUGAGGUCAUCUUGGUUAAGUGUCUCGAGCUGACAUGGUAGCUACUCAGCAAUGGAAACUGUAGGAGAAACUCAAGCGGAGAAGCCAACGCAGCCAUAGCCGUGUCUGAGCUCGACGUUUGAAGUUUCAGGACUAAAUAAGAUUUGUUCGUAUCAAUUGUCUUCUGUGUUUACCAUAAACAAGCUAUAUUUCUGUAUUUAAGAACUCGCCUUCCAACCCGACAAAGCACAUUGAGAAGAAGCGUACAAGGCAGCUGGAGAAAUAUGAUGAAUUGACUACAACAGCCUGCAAGAGAAAAUCUGAAGGUUUUCUCACAAACCUCACACAGAUGAAGCUAGACGAAACAAUGCAAGUCUUUCAGAAGAGUGUCAACAAGGCUAUUCUGAACUUUAUAGUUCAUGGUCUCCAUCUGUUCUCUCUUGUUGAGCAGCCAGCAUUUCAGAGCCUUAUCCAAGAUCUGCAGCCGAACUGCUCCAUCAUGUCUUGAACCACUGUGCGACUCAAACCUGAUAAAGCUACAUUAGCAAUGAGGAAGGUGCCAUACAUGGCCACAACGACUGAUUGCUGGACUUCGAGGAGGAGGAGUUUCAUUGCUUUCAUCGCAGCCCAUUGGCUGAAUCUAAGCACCUUCUGUUGGUCUUGUAUGCAUGCAGUUAAAGGGCACUCACACGUUUGACGUCUUGGCAAGCACAUUGAAUGACGUACAUUGUUAAUAUGCAGUCUGUGAGAAGAUUGCCAGAACCACAACUGACAAGAGAUCAAACUUUGUUAAGGUCGUCUGAGUGCUUGGAGGAGACAAAAACAACAACGUUACUGGUGAAGAGGCAACUGAUGACGAUCCAACACAAGAUUGUCAGGAUGAGGAAGUAGAAUUCAUCCAAGUUGGCACCAUGAUGACUGACCAUUUGGUCAAUCUGGUGGAUGCAAAAAACGCAAACAAGGCAGAGGCCUAGAAGAAAUUGUCGAGGUCGGCCUUCUCCAAGCGCCAGGAUCUCUGGAACAAGACUGUGAGGUCUACUGUUGCUGAAGAGGUGGUUGAAGAACAUUGUAAACUUCAGCUGGUGCAACCUAACAUGACAAGGUGAAACUCCUUUUACUUGGCUGUAGAGCGGAUCCUGAGAAUCCUCAAAGAGCAAGAAGCACUUGAUGUUCCAGUUGUACCUGCUCAACAAAAGAACUAAACAUGCAACAUUUUCAUCAAACAAGUAAAGUCGUUGGGGCAUUAUGUAAUGUGGAGUAAAUGCUCCUUGUCUUCUGCCCUGUCAGUAAGAGCCUCUACUCCUGAAAACAACAUCAAGAUUUUUGUGGAAAUGCAGCUGUAAGUCAUCGUGACAAAGUCACUGACUGAACUGCAAUCAGCUUGGACUUGAUAGCAUCAUUUUAUGACUUGGCUCGGAUUGCAUUAGAAUCAGUCUAUAUAAUUAGACUGAAUGGACUACAUGUUCCUCUGUAAAUUGGAGCUGUUUGGUUUGUAAAAUGCUUUGAGUGGACAAUUGUUGUGGAUUGAUGCCACAUAAGUAAUAAAACAUUGAACUUGUUUGCUUUAAUGUCCAUUUGAAAGAUCCAAUUGUGCUCACAUCAACUUCAGUAGUGCUACAUAAAGUUCUUCCUUCAUGAUGCCAUCAGUUUUAUAAAGUAUACCACUUCCUACUACAAUCAAGUAACCAUCUGUGUACUUGAUGUUCUCAGGCUUACAAGCUUCAGCCCUGUUGCUCUUAUAUAAUGAUGGUCAUUAUAUUAAUUGCAGUGGAAUUUAUACAGCACUCCAGUCAUGCUGACCACUGAAAGCUCUUUACACAUCCUCUUUACUCGCUAAACAUUAAAGCCACCGAUAAGCAGAGGAGUAGGCAACUUUGAGUUGCUCUGUCCAGGGUCACAUUGCUAUAUGGCAGGGGAGGAAGCAGGAAUCAAACCCACAACUUCCAGAAGCAAGACAGUUGUGGAAACCUGCCCCUUGUUCCACGCUUUGCUCCUAGUGAGAAAUGAAGGCUUCCUGUCGGUGGGGACUCUGUUGAAGGCUGAAACAAUUGGGUCUCAAAACAUAUUAAUCUUUUAAACAAAAUACUCGUCGGCUUUCUGAAUGGUGGGAUGGCUG
This is a long non-coding RNA of Gambusia affinis (western mosquitofish), 2116 nucleotides long. RefSeq lists it as uncharacterized. Lineage: Eukaryota; Metazoa; Chordata; Actinopteri; Cyprinodontiformes; Poeciliidae. The record is from RefSeq and is a predicted model, not a curated record. The transcript is spliced from 3 exons.